This 301-nucleotide ribosomal RNA is filed under the name uncultured bacterium. Its description in RNAcentral is "partial 16S ribosomal RNA". It matches the Rfam family "Bacterial small subunit ribosomal RNA", at positions 509 to 807 of the family's 1533-position model. The record is from RNAcentral.
CAGUCGCCGCGGGAAUACGUAGGGUGCGAGCGUUAAUCGGAAUUACUGGGCGUAAAGCGUGCGCAGGCGGUUCGUUAAGACAGAUGUGAAAUCCCCGGGCUUAACCUGGGAACUGCAUUUGUGACUGGCGAGCUAGAGUAUGGCAGAGGGGGGUAAAAUUCCACGUGUAGCAGUGAAAUGCGUAGAGAUGUGGAGGAAUACCGAUGGCGAAGGCAGCCCCCUGGGUCAAUACUGACGCUCAUGCACGAAAGCGUGGGGAGCAAACAGGAUUAGAUACCCCGGUAGUCCCUGUCUCUUAUAC